Danio aesculapii is the source of this 1638-nucleotide long non-coding RNA. RefSeq lists it as uncharacterized. NCBI's taxonomy places the organism in Eukaryota, Metazoa, Chordata, Actinopteri, Cypriniformes, Danionidae. The record is from RefSeq and is a predicted model, not a curated record. The transcript has 4 exons.
CAAGGUGUUUUCUUGGUAAGAAUAUAUCUGUGGUUGGAGACUGUACAAGAUUUGACAAUAACAAAUGUGAAAAUAUGUAGGCUAUUUCCCAGCAAGCAAUGGCCGUCAUUUCACCGGGUACGUGAAGUAUAGACCAGAUCUAGCCCAGCUACGUGUAACCCAAUUUUAGCCCGAAUAACCUUAAAUUUGGUUGUAUGUUGUUUUUUGCUAAAUAAAGCUUAUAUUAUUUGAUACUCCGUCAUGUAAGAAAAGUCAAUAAAGUUUAUAUGGGUUCCUGCAAGUAAUAGACGUAGUUUCAGUUUCUUGGUGAAGUAUAGACCCAAUCUAGUCCGGCUAUGUGUAACCCAUCUCUAGCCCAAAAAUCCUUAAUUUGGUUACCUGUCUUUUUUUGGCAAAAUACCUUGUGAUAUGUAUGAUAUUCCUUCAAAGGAAAGUCAAUCGCAUAUAAGGUGUUUGGGCUUUUAAAUAUAUGUUAUUUUCAUAGCCUGAGUGUAGCCUUGAUAUAGCUCGUCAUCCAGUCGGCUAUUUAUAGCCCACUGAUAGCCUAAACUGGUUCACUGUAGUAUUUGACUGUGCAGCGCGUUCAUCACGCACGCAUUGUCAGUAAGUGUUAAGGUGUAAUUUCGUGACAUGUUCUAUUUGUAGCCAUAAUUUAGCUUUGAAUUAGAUGGGCUUUACACACCUCGCAAAAUUGACAUAAAAAAAUUAAUUGUAGACUUACUGCCUUUUUAUUUUUAAUAAAAAUGAAUAUGGCAUAAUAUAUCUUAUUUAUAAUAUAUUACACAUCUUACGGUAAAACAAGCCAGAUCAAAUCAGUUAAGAAAAAUCGACGCAGUUCCGUACUCCACACAAUAGAUGGCGGUAUUGCACAUUUGUCGAGUCGGCUCGGCUGAAAUGGACCAAACAAAUCAAGAGGAAGAAGCUGUUGAGGUUUGAAAUUUGUAGCGCGUUGGAUUGCGAGCGCGAUUGGCCUGCAGGAUAUUUGAGUAUGGCUGUGUGAAAUGAGCAGUCUAGCAGUUUUAAUACGUAACCAUCAAGCGUGAUUGUGUCCUGAAGACCUACCUCAUUUGAAGAGUCUGUGCAUCUACCUCAAUAAAAACUUGUAAAAGAAUAUGUGGACUGAAAGUGCAGAGGCUGAAUCUCAAAAUGCACACACAGCAGUGGAAAUCUUUAUCGUUUGGGCUGAGGAUGCUGGUUCUGGGGACUGGCCUACAGAUGUUGGUGUAGAAGUUUUGCAGAACCUGCUGAGUGUCACAAAUAGAUUGGAUGGACUUUUUCAUGUACACUUAAAGGUUUUUUUUAACCAGAAAUGAAAACCUUUAAUUAUUCAUGUCGUACUAAACAUUGAUUUGUCUUCGAAGUACAAAUUAAGAUACUUCAGGUGAAAUCUGAGAGCUCUCUCAUUCUCUAUAGACAGCAAUGGUCCCAACUUGUUUAAAGUCCAGAGAAAUACCUAAAACAUCCUCAAAACAGACCACAUACAUUCAGUUGUUCAAUCAGAAUAUGUUUAAGCUACGAUUUUGAAUGCAUAAAAAGCAAAAAUAACAGCCUUUAAGUUUCUUUAUUCUGUUGAACACAAGAUAUUUUAAAGAAUGCUGAAUACCUGUAACCAUUGACUUCCAUGGUAUGUUUUUUUUU